AUUGAACGCUGGCGGCAUGCUUUACACAUGCAAGUCGAACGGUAACAGGUUAAGCUGACGAGUGGCGAACGGGUGAGUAAUGCAUCGGAACGUGCCCGGUCGUGGGGGAUAACACUUCGAAAGAAGUGCUAAUACCGCAUACGAUCUGAGGAUGAAAGCGGGGGACCGUAAGGCCUCGCGCGAUCGGAGCGGCCGAUGUCAGAUUAGGUAGUUGGUGGGGUAAAGGCUCACCAAGCCGACGAUCUGUAGCUGGUCUGAGAGGACGACCAGCCAGACUGGGAAUGAGAAACUGCCCAGACUCCUACGGGAGGCAGCAGUGGGGAAUUUUGGACAAUGGGCGCAAGCCUGAUCCAGCAAUGCCGCGCGCAGGAAGAAGGCCUUCGGGUUGUAAACUGCUUUUGUACGGAGCGAAAAGGCUCUCUCUAAUACAGGGGGCUCAUGACGGUACCGUAAGAAUAAGCACCGGCUAACUACGUGCCAGCCGCCGCAGUAA
Molecule: ribosomal RNA, 493 nt
Filed under: uncultured bacterium
Lineage: Bacteria
Description: partial 16S ribosomal RNA
Rfam family: Bacterial small subunit ribosomal RNA
Source: RNAcentral